Molecule: transfer RNA, 98 nt
Filed under: Nanobdellota archaeon
Lineage: Archaea; Nanobdellati; Nanobdellota
Also listed under: 1 other name
Description: tRNA-Gln
Rfam family: tRNA
About the family: Transfer RNA (tRNA) molecules are approximately 80 nucleotides in length. Their secondary structure includes four short double-helical elements and three loops (D, anti-codon, and T loops). Further hydrogen bonds mediate the characteristic L-shaped molecular structure. tRNAs have two regions of fundamental functional importance: the anti-codon, which is responsible for specific mRNA codon recognition, and the 3' end, to which the tRNAs corresponding amino acid is attached (by aminoacyl-tRNA synthetases). tRNAs cope with the degeneracy of the genetic code in two manners: having more than one tRNA (with a specific anti-codon) for a particular amino acid; and 'wobble' base-pairing, i.e. permitting non-standard base-pairing at the 3rd anti-codon position.
Source: RNAcentral
AGCCCCGUAGUGUAGCGGCCAAACUUUCAGUUAAGCUGUAGGACCAUUCAUUUCGCCCUUUGGAGGCGGAGACCCAGGUUCGAAUCCUGGCGGGGCUA